This 468-nucleotide ribosomal RNA is filed under the name uncultured bacterium. RNAcentral describes it as "partial 16S ribosomal RNA". It matches the Rfam family "Bacterial small subunit ribosomal RNA", at positions 28 to 507 of the family's 1533-position model. The record is from RNAcentral.
GACGAACGCUGGCGGCAUGCUUAACACAUGCAAGUCGAACGGAUAAGGGCUGCUUUUUUCUGGUUUCAGCGGGGGAAGGGGGAGUGAUACCUGUGAAUAAGCCUGCCAUUACUUUGGGAUGACUUGAAGCAACUGGGGAUACUACCUGCUAGCUGAUCCUGCAGGUUGGUGGGGGUCGGAAAGCUUCGGCGGAUGGGGAUGGACGCCCGGCUUAUCAGCUUGUUGGUGGGGGGGUGGCUUACCAAGUCUUUGACGGGUAGCCGGCCUGAGAGGGUGACCGGCCACAUUGGGACUGAGAUACGGCCCAGACUCCUACGGGAGGCAGCAGUGGGGAAUAUGGCACAAUGGGCGGAAGCCUGAUGCAGCAACGCCGCGUGCGGGAUGACGGCCUUCGGGUUGGAAACCGCUUUCGCCUGUGACGAAGCGUGAGUGACGGUAAUGGGUAAAGAAGCACCGGCUAACUACGUG